RNAcentral lists this transfer RNA (71 nucleotides) under Cordylochernes scorpioides. Its description in RNAcentral is "tRNA-Gly". It matches the Rfam family "tRNA". From Rfam's summary of the family: Transfer RNA (tRNA) molecules are approximately 80 nucleotides in length. Their secondary structure includes four short double-helical elements and three loops (D, anti-codon, and T loops). The record is from RNAcentral. Lineage: Eukaryota; Metazoa; Arthropoda; Arachnida; Pseudoscorpiones; Chernetidae.
GCAUCGGUGGUUCAGUGGUAGAAUCCUCGCCUGCCACGUGGGCGGCCCGGGUUCGAUUCCCAGCCGAUGCA